AGAAAUUUAGGUUAAUAAGACCAAGAGCCUUCAAAGCCCUCAGUAAGUAAAAGUUACUUAAUUUCUG
Molecule: transfer RNA, 67 nt
Filed under: Saimiri sciureus (common squirrel monkey)
Lineage: Eukaryota; Metazoa; Chordata; Mammalia; Primates; Cebidae
Description: tRNA-Trp
Source: RNAcentral